ACAACAAGGGCAGUUACUUGCAGCUUUCUGAAGUGAUAGGAUGUUAUUCUGUAUGGGUUGAAGCUUUCUGAAAUUGUGUGGUGGUACUCUAUGGAUUGUGGCCAUCUCAACUGUGACAUUUGCUGCAGCAAUUGCAGAAAAGAUCCAAGUUCCUGCUACAGCCUUUGUUUCUCUGGUAGGCCAAGUGUGUAUCCCUGGGACUGGAAAGGGUCUGAAGUGUGUGCUGUGCAAGUGUCAGAUUCCUCAGAUAAUCAGGAAAAAAAUCCCCAACCUUUCGACCUUCACUGAAGGGAUGACUGAGGAAACUGGCAGCAAGACACUUCCAAGUGCUCUAUGGAUUAAGAAUGGCCAGACAUUUUCCAAGGCCCUGUGAAGUGGUGGCUGUGUUAACACUGAUGUCAAAGGGAUGCAGAGCAGUUACCCCUGUCAAGGCAAAAAAGCUCCUACUAUGAGGACACCAUGCUUUAAUGAGUCUAACUGAAGGAAAAGGUGUAACAGUGGUGGAACUGGUGAUAGAAAUUGUGCCAGAGAAGGAUGAAGAGUAAAACAGGACUGUUGGUGUUGAAAAUACCUUGCAGUUUCAGCGUGGUUCUGCCCUUCCUCUGGAAAAGGAUCUGGCCCAAUGUGAACCCUGAAUAUUGCAACAAAACACCCACUGAAAGAAGAGAGAGGAGAGAGAGAGAAUCGGUGCCAAUUAUUAAAAUGCACAAAGCCAUGGCUGCCAGCCCACUUAUCCCCUGCCACAGUGAAUCAGUGUAUCCACAGAGAGUGUUUCCUGUGCUCUUGGAGCUGUCACAGAUGGACUGGAAGAGCUUUCUGGUGAUGCGGUCCAGCAGGGGACAUGUGCUCCAAUGACAGCAGUGGUGCACAAUUAGCAUAGGCUAAAAGAGCACAAAGGAAAUUGUGGAGCAGAGUGAAAGCUGCAGAACCCUUAGCUGUAACUCACUCAGGGCUUUCCAAUUCUCUCUGCAAUAAGGCAAAAAGGCAAGUUAAUAAAGAGCUGAAUAUUUUGGUAAGGCAAACUAUUGGGCUAUUAUUAUAUAGAAUUAUGAAAUAUCAAUGGACUAAGGCUGACUUCCAUAUGAAAAAUGUUCUUAGAAGUUUUGGAACUCAAAUGAUGAAUUAUCUUGGGUUUUGCCAUUCUUUGGUAAAGAUUUACAAAACACUACCUCAGUAUUCUUGAUCACUUUAAUACCUUAAAAAAGAAAAAUGUUCCCAAGGGAUCUCUACUGAGAAGGAGGCUUUACUGUGAGUCCCUGUGCACUGCCACACUAAUCAAUAGUUGUGACUGAUUGCUGUAACUAAUCCAUAAGAUAUAGGACUGAAGCAUGGAGGGUUUUUCAAAACUUUGUUCUGUGUCUCCCAGGAGGAGAGCAGCCCCUCCACUUGGAAUGAUGGGCUUAUUCCAGCCUUUGCUCAGUGCUGUGAUUCCCUGGUUCUGUCUGUGUGGGCAUGAGAACCACCCCCUGAUCUGGUGUGUGACGCUGCCUCCCCUCCUCAGCCCUGCACCACCACUUUAGCAGCCACGUGCUUGCCUGGUUAAACAAACAGCUCUAAUGACCUCCACAGAAGCCCCUGCAGACUCUGGAACUCUUCUCCAUUUUCAAGGUCACAACUCUGCUUGAGGUUGAUAAAUUCAUGAAUUAAUAAUACUAAGCACUUUUCAUCCAGGAGUGUCAAAGGUGAGAAACCAUUGUUAGUCCCGUUUUUAUCAGGGAGGAAAUUGAGCUGUAGAAGUGACAUGUACAAAAUGAUUUUGGAAGCCAGUAGUAGAUCCAGGAAAAGAGCACAGUUCUGUGCGCUCAGCUUGCACUGUAGCCAUUGCAUCACUCUGCUUCAUGGUGCCUUUUGUGCCGCAGCACAC
This is a long non-coding RNA of Zonotrichia leucophrys gambelii, 1864 nucleotides long. RefSeq lists it as uncharacterized. The transcript is spliced from 5 exons. Lineage: Eukaryota; Metazoa; Chordata; Aves; Passeriformes; Passerellidae. The record is from RefSeq and is a predicted model, not a curated record.